AGAUUGAACGCUAGCGGGAUGCUUUACACAUGCAAGUCGAACGGCAGCGCGGACUUCGGUCUGGCGGCGAGUGGCGAACGGGUGAGUAAUAUAUCGGAACGUGCCCAGUAGCGGGGGAUAACUACGCGAAAGCGUGGCUAAUACCGCAUACGCCCUACGGGGGAAAGGGGGGAUUCUUUCGAGAACCUCUCACUAUUGGAGCGGCCGAUAUCAGAUUAGCUAGUUGGUGAGGUAAAGGCUCACCAAGGCGACGAUCUGUAGCUGGUUUGAGAGGACGACCAGCCACACUGGGACUGACGACACGGCCCAGACUCCUACGGGAGCAGCAGUGGGAAUUUGGAC
Molecule: ribosomal RNA, 342 nt
Filed under: uncultured soil bacterium
Lineage: Bacteria
Description: bacterial SSU rRNA
Rfam family: Bacterial small subunit ribosomal RNA
Source: RNAcentral